This 207-nucleotide ribosomal RNA is filed under the name uncultured bacterium. Its description in RNAcentral is "partial 16S ribosomal RNA". It matches the Rfam family "Bacterial small subunit ribosomal RNA", at positions 568 to 774 of the family's 1533-position model. The record is from RNAcentral.
CGCGCAGGCGGUCGUUCAAGUCGAGUGUGAAAGCCCCCGGCUCAACUGGGGAGGGUCACUCGAUACUGAUCGACUUGAAGGCAGGAGAGGGAAGCGGAAUUCCCGGUGUAGUGGUGAAAUGCGUAGAUAUCGGGAGGAACACCAGUGGCGAAGGCGGCUUUCUGGCCUGCUCUUGACGCUGAGGCGCGAAAGCUAGGGUAGCAAACG